This 254-nucleotide ribosomal RNA is filed under the name uncultured bacterium. Its description in RNAcentral is "partial 16S ribosomal RNA". It matches the Rfam family "Bacterial small subunit ribosomal RNA", at positions 524 to 776 of the family's 1533-position model. The record is from RNAcentral.
UACGGAGGGUGCGAGCGUUGUCCGGAAUCACUGGGCGUAAAGGGCGCGUAGGUGGCGCGGGCAGUCAACGGUGAAAGUUCGGGGCUCAACCCUGAAUCGGCCGUCGAUACUCCCGGGCUUGAGCACUGUAGAGGCAGAUGGAAUUCCGGGUGUAGCGGUGGAAUGCGCAGAUAUCAGGAGGAACACCGGUGGCGAAGGCGGGAUCUCUGGGCCGAUAUUGACGCUGAGGAGCGAAAGCGUGGGGAGCGAACAGG